This 690-nucleotide ribosomal RNA is filed under the name uncultured Bacteroidales bacterium. RNAcentral's name for it is "bacterial SSU rRNA". It matches the Rfam family "Bacterial small subunit ribosomal RNA", at positions 32 to 715 of the family's 1533-position model. The record is from RNAcentral. Lineage: Bacteria; Pseudomonadati; Bacteroidota; Bacteroidia; Bacteroidales.
AACGCUAGCUACAGGCUUAACACAUGCAAGUCGAGGGGCAGCACAGUGUAGCAAUACAUGGGUGGCGACCGGCGCACGGGUGCGUAACGCGUAUCCAACCUUCCCGAUACUCUUGGAUAGCCUUCCGAAAGGGAGAUUAAUACAAGAUGGUGUUUCACUUCCGCAUGUUAUUGAAACUAAAGAUUUAUCGGUAUCGGAUGGGGAUGCGUGACAUUAGAUAGUAGGCGGGGUAACGGCCCACCUAGUCUACGAUGUCUAGGGGUUCUGAGAGGAAGGUCCCCCACACUGGAACUGAGACACGGUCCAGACUCCUACGGGAGGCAGCAGUGAGGAAUAUUGGUCAAUGGUCGGAAGACUGAACCAGCCAAGUAGCGUGAAGGAUGAAGGUUCUAUGGAUUGUAAACUUCUUUUAUACGGGAAUAAAACCUCCCACGUGUGAGAGCUUGUAUGUACCGUAUGAAUAAGCAUCGGCUAACUCCGUGCCAGCAGCCGCGGUAAUACGGAGGAUGCGAGCGUUAUCCGGAUUUAUUGGGUUUAAAGGGAGCGUAGACGGGAUGUUAAGUCAGUUGUGAAAGGCUGCGGCUCAACCGCAGCACUGCAGUUGAUACUGGCGUCCUUGAGUGCGGUUGAGGUAUGUGGAAUUCGUGGUGUAGCGGUGAAAUGCUUAGAUAUCACGAAGAACUCCGAUUG